GUAACACGUGGGUAACCUGCCUCAUAGAGGGGAAUAGCCUUUCGAAAGGAAGAUUAAUACCGCAUAAGAUUGUAGUACCGCAUGGUACAGCAAUUAAAGGAGUAAUCCGCUAUGAGAUGGACCCGCGUCGCAUUAGCUAGUUGGUGAGGUAACGGCUCACCAAGGCGACGAUGCGUAGCCGACCUGAGAGGGUGAUCGGCCACAUUGGGACUGAGACACGGCCCAGACUCCUACGGGAGGCAGCAGGUGGGGAAUAUUGCACAAUGGGGGAAACCCUGAAUGCAGCAACGCCGCGUGAGUGAUGACGGCCUUCGGGUUGUAAAACUCUGUCUUUGGGGACGAUAAUGACGGUACCCAAGGAGGAAGCCACGGCUAACUACGUGCCAGCCGCAGC
Molecule: ribosomal RNA, 394 nt
Filed under: uncultured bacterium
Lineage: Bacteria
Description: bacterial SSU rRNA
Rfam family: Bacterial small subunit ribosomal RNA
Source: RNAcentral